Molecule: long non-coding RNA, 308 nt
Organism: Ictalurus punctatus (channel catfish)
Lineage: Eukaryota; Metazoa; Chordata; Actinopteri; Siluriformes; Ictaluridae
Source: Ensembl
CGUCUUGUCUACGUCAUUUUUUUUACCUAGGGAAUUGAGAAUCCUGGUUUCUGACUACCUAGGUAAAUGAGAAUCCUGGUUUUUGACAACCUAGGUAACUAGAAACUCUGGGUUUUUGUUUCCUGGGUUUUUGGAAAUGCCUGGGUUCUGAUUUUAUGUGUAAAUUAAAACCCCUGGUUUCAAUUCUAUGGGUAAGUGAAAUAGGCCUUUUCUGGAAACCUAUGGGUUAUCUAGUGUGUAAAUACAGUAUAAAUACUGGAGCUUAAGCUCAGGGUGUCAGAUCACUUCUGAGAAUUCUCAUCGGUGUG